This 720-nucleotide ribosomal RNA is filed under the name uncultured bacterium. RNAcentral's name for it is "bacterial SSU rRNA". It matches the Rfam family "Bacterial small subunit ribosomal RNA", at positions 413 to 1122 of the family's 1533-position model. The record is from RNAcentral.
GCCCCUCGGGGUGUAAACCGUUKUYMSGGGGGAAGAAAAGGCUGCGGGCGAAUAACCCGGGCUCUUKACGGWACCCCCAGAGGAAGCGCCGGCUAACUCCGUGCCAGCAGCCGCGGUAAUACGGAGGGCGCAAGCGUUGUYCGGAAUUACUGGGCGUAAAGGGGGCGCAGGCGGCUGGCUCAGUCCUGUGUGAAAUCCCACGGCUCAACCGUGGAAUGCCACAGGAUACUGGCGAGCUUGAGACGGGUAGAGGCGAGUGGAAUUCCCGGUGUAGCGGUGGAAUGCGUAGAUAUCGGGAAGAACACCAGUGGCGAAGGCGACUCGCUGGGCCCGUUCUGACGCUCAGGCCCGAAAGCGUGGGGAGCAAWYAGGAUUAGAUACCCUGGUAGUCCACGCCGUAAACGAUGGGCACUAGGUGCUGGGAAGUGUGACCUUUUCGGUGCCGUAGCUAACGCGUUAAGUGCCCCGCCUGGGGAGUACGGCCGCAAGGCUGAAACUCAAAGGAAUUGACGGGGGCCCGCACAAGCGGUGGAGCAUGUGGUUUAAUUCGAUGCAACGCGAAGAACCUUACCUGGGCUUGACAUGCUAGGGAAGUCGGGUGGAAACAUCCGGCGCCCUUCGGGGCCCUAGCACAGGUGCUGCAUGGCUGUCGUCAGCUCGUGUCGUGAGAUGUUGGGUUAAGUCCCGCAACGAGCGCAACCCUUACCCGUAGUUGCCAGC